This 392-nucleotide unclassified non-coding RNA is filed under the name Proteus mirabilis. RNAcentral's name for it is "partial 16S-23S ribosomal RNA intergenic spacer". The stretch from base 85 to 157 matches the Rfam family "tRNA". The record is from RNAcentral. Lineage: Bacteria; Pseudomonadati; Pseudomonadota; Gammaproteobacteria; Enterobacterales; Morganellaceae.
CCUAAGAGAUACGUGUUAUGUGAAGUGCUCACACAGAUUGUCUGAUGAAGAACGAGCAAAAGCGCGUCUGCGAAGCUGACAGAAGUCCCCUUCGUCUAGAGGCCUAGGACACCGCCCUUUCACGGCGGUAACAGGGGUUCGAAUCCCCUAGGGGACGCCAAUGCGCGGUAUGAGUGAAAGGCGUACCACUUAUCUGACGAGAGUCAGAGAAUAACUAAGCUAAUUCAAACGAGUUAUCUUACUUAUUAUGCUCUUUAACAAUCUGGAACAAGCUGAAAAAUUGAAAACAAAUCAAUAUAUCAACGAGGUAUAUUGGUGAGUCUCUCAAAAUCUCAAACCUUAAAGGUUGUCACGCAAAGUUUAUCUUUGAAAGAGACACUUUCGGGUUGUGA